Molecule: ribosomal RNA, 200 nt
Filed under: uncultured eukaryote
Lineage: Eukaryota
Description: partial 18S ribosomal RNA
Rfam family: Eukaryotic small subunit ribosomal RNA
Source: RNAcentral
CUCCAAUAGCGUAUAUUAAAGCUGUUGCGGUUAAAAAAGCUCGUAGUUGGAUUUCUGUCAAGUACAACUGGUCCGCCUCUGGGUGAGCACAUAGUUUGGUCUUGGCAUCUUGCUGGAAACUGUUGCUGCACUUGGCUGUGUGGCGCAGUGUCCAGCACUUUCACUUUGAGGAAAUUAGAGUGUUUCAAGCAGGCGUGCGC